RNAcentral lists this ribosomal RNA (497 nucleotides) under uncultured bacterium. RNAcentral's name for it is "partial 16S ribosomal RNA". It matches the Rfam family "Bacterial small subunit ribosomal RNA", at positions 28 to 507 of the family's 1533-position model. The record is from RNAcentral.
GAUGAACGCUGGCGGCGUGCCUAAUACAUGCAAGUCGAGCGAACAGAUAAGGAGCUUGCUCCUUUGACGUUAGCGGCGGACGGGUGAGUAACACGUGGUUAACCUACCUAUAAGACUGGGAUAACUUCGGGAAACCGGAGCUCUUACCGGAUAACAUUUGGAACUGCAUGGUUCUAAAGUUAAAGAUGGUUUUGCUAUCACUUAUAGAUGGACCCGCUCCGUAUUAGCUAGUUGGUAAGGUAACGGCUUACCAAGGCGACGAUACGUAGCCGACCUGAGAGAGUGAUCGGCAAAGCGGGAACGGAGACACGGGCAAGACUCCUACGGGAGGAAGCAGUAGGGAAUCAUCAGCAAGGAGCAAAAGACAGACGGAGCAACGCCGCGUGAGUGAUGAAGGGUUUCGGAUCGUAAAACUCUGUUAUUAGGGAAGAACAAAUGAGUAAGUAGCUGUGCACGUCUUGACGGUACCUAAACAGAAAGCAACGGCUAACUACGUG